GGCAGCUCGUGGGUGACGCACCUCAGAAUCAGGCUCCCUCCUCUCUGGUUCCCGGUGCGUUUCCUGAGAACCAUA
Non-coding RNA from Myotis davidii, 75 nucleotides. NCBI's taxonomy places the organism in Eukaryota, Metazoa, Chordata, Mammalia, Chiroptera, Vespertilionidae. The record is from Rfam.